This is a long non-coding RNA of Quercus robur (English oak), 510 nucleotides long. RefSeq lists it as uncharacterized. NCBI's taxonomy places the organism in Eukaryota, Viridiplantae, Streptophyta, Magnoliopsida, Fagales, Fagaceae. The transcript is spliced from 3 exons. The record is from RefSeq and is a predicted model, not a curated record.
UUUUUUGGGAAGGGGUGGGGGGGUAUUAAAGUUAUUCUAGUUGUGUGUUUUUUUAAUUUUUCAUCUUUGCCCUGCAUGCUUGUAUUGAUUGCUUAACUGGCAGAGUCAUUUUCGAAUUAUUGUAGGAAGCUUCACCAUCUGUUGUUUUCAUUAAAGACCUUGAAAUAGUUAGAAGCCCCAAGACCGCUUCUGAUGAUGUCAAUCUUAUUGAGGAUGAAAAUGCAAAAGUUGACGGGACAGGUUCAGGCUUCAUCUGGGAUAACUUUGGUCACAUUGUAACCAAUCACCAUGUUGUAGCUAAAUUGGCAACAGAUGGGAGCGGAAUACAUUGUUGUAAGAUUUAUCUAGCAGACACAAGAGGCAAUGGCUUUUACAGGGAAGGAAAGAUUGUUGGUGUUGAUCCAGAAUAUGAUCUGGCUGUCCUUAAGGUGUGCACUGAAACUAUCAUUUAAUUUCUUUGCCACGUAUUAAGCUUCUUAUCAUUGAUAUAUAAAGUAGACUUACUUUUCC